Molecule: unclassified non-coding RNA, 255 nt
Filed under: Hevea brasiliensis (rubber tree)
Lineage: Eukaryota; Viridiplantae; Streptophyta; Magnoliopsida; Malpighiales; Euphorbiaceae
Source: RNAcentral
AAAAAAAAAAAAAAAAAAAAAAAAGAGGCAAGAAUUGUUGGACAAGGGGGAAGAGAGCUUUCUUGUUGUACAGAUGUUUCCUUCAUCACUUGCUUUUUGUCUCUCACUUCACCGUUGUUGUUCUUGGGAUGGUGAAUGACUUAUUUGGUCUCACUUUCCUUUUACUUAUUAUGUUGUCUUAAUUUAAUUAUUUUGUAUUAGGCAUCAAUACCCUUUUCCCUUUAUUGAUUCAAUCAAUGUUUCUUUAUAUGUUGG